CCCUAGUAACGGCGAGUGAAGCGGCAACAGCUCAAAUUUGAAAUCUGGCGUCUUUGGCGUCCGAGUUGUAAUUUGCAGAGGGCGCUUUGGCAUUGGCAGCGGUCCAAGUUCCUUGGAACAGGACGUCACAGAGGGUGAGAAUCCCGUACGUGGUCGCUAGCCUUUACCGUGUAAAGCCCCUUCGACGAGUCGAGUUGUUUGGGAAUGCAGCUCUAAAUGGGAGGUAAAUUUCUUCUAAAGCUAAAUACUGGCCAGAGACCGAUAGCGCACAAGUAGAGUGAUCGAAAGAUGAAAAGCACUUUGGAAAGAGAGUUAAAAAGCACGUGAAAUUGUUGAAAGGGAAGCGCUUGCAGCCAGACUUGCCUGUAGUUGCUCAUCCGGGUUUCUACCCGGUGCACUCUUCUACGGGCAGGCCAGCAUCAGUUUGGGCGGUUGGAUAAAGGUCUCUGUCAUGUACCUCCUUUCGGGGAGAUCUUAUAGGGGAGACGACAUGCAACCAGCCUGGACUGAGGUCCGCGCAUCUGCUAGGAUGCUGGCGUAAUGGCUGUAAGCGGCCCGUCUUGAAACACGGACCAAGGAGUCUAACAUCUAUGCGAGUGUUUGGGUGUCAAGCCCGAGCGCGUAAUGAAAGUGAACGGAGGUGGGAACCUUUCGGGGUGCACCAUCGACCGAUCCUGAUGUCUUCGGAUGGAUUUGAGUAAGAGCAUAGCUGUUGGGACCCGAAAGAUGGUGAACUAUGCUUGAAUAGGGUGAAGCCAGAGGAAACUCUGGUGGAGGCUCGCAGCGGUUCUGACGUGCAAAUCGAUCGUCAAAUUUGGGCAUA
This 823-nucleotide ribosomal RNA is filed under the name Epicoccum sp. Its description in RNAcentral is "partial large subunit ribosomal RNA". It matches the Rfam family "Eukaryotic large subunit ribosomal RNA", at positions 78 to 919 of the family's 3401-position model. The record is from RNAcentral. Lineage: Eukaryota; Fungi; Ascomycota; Dothideomycetes; Pleosporales; Didymellaceae. RNAcentral also lists the same sequence under 1 other name.